Molecule: ribosomal RNA, 165 nt
Filed under: Escherichia coli
Lineage: Bacteria; Pseudomonadati; Pseudomonadota; Gammaproteobacteria; Enterobacterales; Enterobacteriaceae
Description: partial 16S ribosomal RNA
Rfam family: Bacterial small subunit ribosomal RNA
Source: RNAcentral
AAAUUGAAGAGUUUGAUCAUGGCUCAGAUUGAACGCUGGCGGCAGGCCUAACACAUGCAAGUCGAACGGUAACAGGAAUCAGCUUGCUGAUUCGCUGACGAGUGGCGGACGGGUGAGUAAUGUCUGGGAAACUGCCUGAUGGAGGGGGAUAACUACUGGAAACGG